RNAcentral lists this ribosomal RNA (1008 nucleotides) under Carpoglyphus lactis (prune mite). Its description in RNAcentral is "16S ribosomal RNA". The stretch from base 650 to 954 matches the Rfam family "Archaeal large subunit ribosomal RNA", at positions 2150 to 2716 of the family's 2987-position model. Lineage: Eukaryota; Metazoa; Arthropoda; Arachnida; Sarcoptiformes; Carpoglyphidae. The record is from RNAcentral.
CAUAUUUAAAUUAUGACAUUAAAAAAAUUUUUUUAUCUCUUAAAAUUAUUUUUCAAAAAAACUGUAAGGGGACCCCCUUGGUGAUUUUUUUACCUUUUGUAUAAGGAGAAUUAGACUUAUGGGUGUUUAUGCUUAAUCUAGAAAAAAUAGGAUCUUGUUUAGGCCAUUAAAUGUAGAACUUUGUUUAAGCCUUAAUAAGGAGUAAUACGCUCUCGUCUACUUUAAUAUCUAGAAAAAAUUGUAAAAAAGGGGUAAAUACUUUAUUAAUCUUAUUAUCUGGCUUGUUUUUUGUCUUUAUUAGUGGGACUCUGUGUUAUAACUACACUAAAUUUUAAAAGAUUAAUUUUUCUAUCUAAAACUUUAAAUUAAUUAAUUUAUUAGUAGGGUUAAAUUUUAUUCUUUGAUUUUUUUUUAUUUAUACUUUUUAAACUUUUAUUUUUUACUAAUUACUUAUUAAAAUGUUUAAUAAAAGCUUAGCUGUAGUAUUUACAGUCUCUUCUGCCCUAUGCUCUAUAGUAAAUGGCUGUGUUUCACACUAAGGUAGCAAAAUCAUUAGCUACUUAAUUGGUAACUCGUAUGAAAGGAGAAAUUAAUAAGUUAUUAAAUUCUUAAGCUUAACUUAUAUUUUUGUUGAAAAUAACAAAACUAUCCUUAAGACAAAAAGACCCUAGAAUUUUUAUCCACUUUUGUGGAUUUAGUUGGGGCAAUAAUAAAAUAAAAAUAUUUUUAUUUUUACCUUAUAAGAACUUUUAAUAAAGAAAAAUUGAAAAAUACUCUAGGGAUAACAGCUUUAUCUUUUUUUAUAGCUCUUAUUACUAAGAAGGAUUGGGACCUCGAUGUUGGAUUAAAGUUCCUACUAGGUGUAGCCGCUUAGGUAGGUAGAUUGUUCAUCUAUUAAAUCUUUACAUGAUCUGAGUUAAAGUCGGCUUGAGCCAGACUGGAUUUUAUCUAAGGAUUAAAUUUUCUACAACUUAGUACGAAAGGACCUGUUGUUAAAGAGAUUUCUUU